AACGCAUAUUGCGCUCUUUGGUAUUCCGAAGAGCAUGCUUGUUUGAGUAUCAGUAAACACCUCAACCAGAUUUUUUUCUGGAUGGACUUGAGCAAACCCAACAUUGGUCUCUUUCGAGAGGUCGGCGGCGGGUUGCUUGAAAUGCAGGUGCAGCUGUGACAAGAACAGACUGAGCUAAAAGCAUAUCUAAUUUAGUCCGCCUGGCGGAUUAUCUCUAUUUGCUGCAGUUCAACCAAAAGUCGUCUUGGCGAGCUGACUGAUGCAGGAUUUGUCAGACUUUCCUCUCUAAGAGAGGGCUUUCUUUCAAAACUCGAUCUCAAAUCAAGUAAGACUACCCGCUGAACUUAA
Molecule: unclassified non-coding RNA, 348 nt
Filed under: uncultured Mortierellales
Lineage: Eukaryota; Fungi; Mortierellomycota; Mortierellomycetes; Mortierellales
Description: sequence contains 5.8S rRNA gene, ITS2, 28S rRNA gene
Source: RNAcentral